This 1383-nucleotide ribosomal RNA is filed under the name Arctodiaptomus cf. stephanidesi FM-2012. RNAcentral's name for it is "SSU rRNA". It matches the Rfam family "Eukaryotic small subunit ribosomal RNA", at positions 50 to 1455 of the family's 1831-position model. The record is from RNAcentral. Lineage: Eukaryota; Metazoa; Arthropoda; Copepoda; Calanoida; Diaptomidae.
CCUGCAUGUCUAAGUACAAGCCUCAGUAAGGUGAAACCGCGAAUGGCUCAUUAAAUCACACCUAAUCUACUGGAAAGUUACUAGUUACUUGGAUAACUGAGGUAAUUCUUGAGCUAAUACAUGCGAAAAAUCUCGACUCACGGAGAGAUGCUUUUAUUAGAUCAAAACCAAACGGCUUCGGCCGUCUCAUUGGUGACUCUGAAUAACUUUGGGCUGAUCGUAUGGCCUUGUGCCGACGACGUUUCCUUCGAAGGUGUGCCCUAUCAACUGUCGACUGUGAUAUAGACGCUCACAGUGGUUUUGACGGGUAACGGGGAAUCAGGGUUCGAUUCCGGAGAGGGAGCCUUAAAAACGGCUACCACAUCCAAGGAAGGCAGCAGGCACGCAAAUUACCCAAUGAACGAAGUUCGAGGUAGUGACGAAAAAUAACGAUACAGGACUCAUCCGAGGCCCUGUAAUUGGAAUGAGUACACUUUAAAACCGUUCCCGAGGAUCUAUUGGAGGGCAAGUCUGGUGCCAGCAGCCGCGGUAAUUCCAGCUCCAAUAGCGUAUAUUAAAGUUGUUGUGGUUAAAAAGCUCGUAGUUGGAUCUCGGCGGACAGAAGUCGGUCCGAAUGCUUUCGGUACUGGCUUGUUUGUCCGUGUGUUUUGCCAGAGGCAGGCGGGUGCUCUUCGCCGAGUGUCCGUUUGUGCUGGCAGGUUUACUUUGAAAAAAUUAGAGUGCUCAAAGCAAGCUCUUACGCUUGAAUAUUCGUGCAUGGAAUAAUAGAAUAGGAUGUCGUUUCUAUUUUGUUGGUUUUCGGAAAUCGACAUAAUGAUUAAUAGGGACAGUCGGGGGCAUUUGUAUUCAAACGACAGAGGUGAAAUUCUUGGACCGUUUGAAGACAAACUACUGCGAAAGCAUUUGCCAAGAAUGUUUUCAUUAAUCAAGAACGAAAGUUAGAGGUUCGAAGGCGAUUAGAUACCGCCCUAGUUCUAACCAUAAACGAUGCCAGCUAGCGAUCUGCAGGCGUUUUACUUUACGACCUUGCAGGGAGCUUCCGGGAAACCAAAGCUUGUGGGUUCCAGGGGAAGUAUGGUUGCAAAGCUGAAACUUAAAGGAAUUGACGGAAGGGCACCACCAGGAGUGGAGCCUGUGGCUUAAUUUGACUCAACACGGGAAAUCUCACCAGGCCCGGACACGAGAAGGAUUGACAGAUUGAUAGCUCUUUCUUGAUUUCGUGGGUGGUGGUGCAUGGCCGUUCUUAGUUGGUGGAGUGAUUUGUCUGGUUAAUUCCGAUAACGAACGAGACUCUGUCCUGCUAACUAGUGUCUGCUUCUUUUCUGAGCAGAUUAUUCUUCUUAGAGGGACUGGUAGCUCUUAGCUACACGAGAUUGAGCAAUA